GGAAUUGUUCGCAAUGGGCGCAAGCCUGACGACGCAACGCCGCGUGGAGGAUGAAGGUCUUCGGAUUGUAAACUCCUGUUGACCGGGAAGAACGGACUCUGACUUAACACGUCAGGGAAUUGACGGUACCGGUUGAGGAAGCCAAGGCUAACUCUGUGCCAGCAGCCGCGGUAAUACAGAGGUGGCAAGCGUUGUUCGGAAUUACUGGGCGUAAAGGGCGCGUAGGCGGUCGCCUAAGUCGGACGUGAAAUCCCCAAGCUUAACUUGGGAACUGCGUCCGAUACUGGGUGACUUGAGUUCGGGAGAGGAAUGUGGAAUUCCAGGUGUAGCGGUGAAAUGCGUAGAUAUCUGGAGGAACACCGGUGGCGAAGGCGGCAUUCUGGACCGAAACUGACGCUGAGGCGCGAAAGCCAGGGGAGCAAAC
RNAcentral lists this ribosomal RNA (424 nucleotides) under uncultured bacterium. RNAcentral describes it as "bacterial SSU rRNA". It matches the Rfam family "Bacterial small subunit ribosomal RNA", at positions 358 to 773 of the family's 1533-position model. The record is from RNAcentral.